RNAcentral lists this long non-coding RNA (767 nucleotides) under Acyrthosiphon pisum (pea aphid). RNAcentral describes it as "uncharacterized LOC107884934, transcript variant X2". Lineage: Eukaryota; Metazoa; Arthropoda; Insecta; Hemiptera; Aphididae. The record is from RNAcentral.
UAUCUAUAUUAUGUAAACCGAAUAUGUCUUCGUCGUCAAUCUCGUAGUAUUACCACAGAAUAGAUGGAAACUAUUUCAUCUAUUCUGUGGUAUUACACUAUUACGAAUAAUAUUGUACGAUAAUAUCAAAGUAUUUUACCGAACGAUCGAAGUAUCGAAUUGUUAUCAAUUACUAGGAACAUUUACGACUAACGACUAACCAUAAGUUAACAACAUUGUUGUCAUGCAAGUACCAAAAUAAAUAUGAAGUUAGAAUUAUAAACGGUUGAAUUGUUUUUCAUUCUGUCAACCAGUUCACUCGGUUUGAUUCGUCUUACUUCACAAACAAAGUUUUGAUCUCAGUGCAACUGGUGUAACUACAGAAUUACCAAGUCUAACUGCAUCUGCCACAACUACAACGCAAAUACCGUAACCAUAAUUAAAAGGUAUUAAACAAAAAUUAUUCGAUAGUGUAGAUUGUGGUAAUCAGUCUGUGAACAUGCUACCUGAGGUGCUACCUAUGUUUGAAAUUGUACUAAUUAUUAAUUAUAUAAGGACUGUAAGUUACACCUGUCAUCCCAUGAUUUCACCACACUUAGAAAUGUCAAAAUUAAAAAUAAAUUUGAAAAGAAAAAAACUCUUAGACAACUGUAAGAAGGUUAAGGAACAGACUAUCAUUGAUGGAAGCUCUCUUUAAACACGAUGAUAAUAUUUUAGAGCUUAAUACUUAUUGAUGUUGAUGUCUUAAAGUUGUUGGAAGAAAAAUAUAAAAUUGAUUUAUAAUUGAA